This 1772-nucleotide ribosomal RNA is filed under the name Escherichia coli. RNAcentral describes it as "partial 23S ribosomal RNA". It matches the Rfam family "Bacterial large subunit ribosomal RNA", at positions 450 to 2207 of the family's 2925-position model. The record is from RNAcentral. Lineage: Bacteria; Pseudomonadati; Pseudomonadota; Gammaproteobacteria; Enterobacterales; Enterobacteriaceae.
GGACCAUCCUCCAAGGCUAAAUACUCCUGACUGACCGAUAGUGAACCAGUACCGUGAGGGAAAGGCGAAAAGAACCCCGGCGAGGGGAGUGAAAAAGAACCUGAAACCGUGUACGUACAAGCAGUGGGAGCACGCUUAGGCGUGUGACUGCGUACCUUUUGUAUAAUGGGUCAGCGACUUAUAUUCUGUAGCAAGGUUAACCGAAUAGGGGAGCCGAAGGGAAACCGAGUCUUAACUGGGCGUUAAGUUGCAGGGUAUAGACCCGAAACCCGGUGAUCUAGCCAUGGGCAGGUUGAAGGUUGGGUAACACUAACUGGAGGACCGAACCGACUAAUGUUGAAAAAUUAGCGGAUGACUUGUGGCUGGGGGUGAAAGGCCAAUCAAACCGGGAGAUAGCUGGUUCUCCCCGAAAGCUAUUUAGGUAGCGCCUCGUGAAUUCAUCUCCGGGGGUAGAGCACUGUUUCGGCAAGGGGGUCAUCCCGACUUACCAACCCGAUGCAAACUGCGAAUACCGGAGAAUGUUAUCACGGGAGACACACGGCGGGUGCUAACGUCCGUCGUGAAGAGGGAAACAACCCAGACCGCCAGCUAAGGUCCCAAAGUCAUGGUUAAGUGGGAAACGAUGUGGGAAGGCCCAGACAGCCAGGAUGUUGGCUUAGAAGCAGCCAUCAUUUAAAGAAAGCGUAAUAGCUCACUGGUCGAGUCGGCCUGCGCGGAAGAUGUAACGGGGCUAAACCAUGCACCGAAGCUGCGGCAGCGACGCUUAUGCGUUGUUGGGUAGGGGAGCGUUCUGUAAGCCUGUGAAGGUGUGCUGUGAGGCAUGCUGGAGGUAUCAGAAGUGCGAAUGCUGACAUAAGUAACGAUAAAGCGGGUGAAAAGCCCGCUCGCCGGAAGACCAAGGGUUCCUGUCCAACGUUAAUCGGGGCAGGGUGAGUCGACCCCUAAGGCGAGGCCGAAAGGCGUAGUCGAUGGGAAACAGGUUAAUAUUCCUGUACUUGGUGUUACUGCGAAGGGGGGACGGAGAAGGCUAUGUUGGCCGGGCGACGGUUGUCCCGGUUUAAGCGUGUAGGCUGGUUUUCCAGGCAAAUCCGGAAAAUCAAGGCUGAGGCGUGAUGACGAGGCACUACGGUGCUGAAGCAACAAAUGCCCUGCUUCCAGGAAAAGCCUCUAAGCAUCAGGUAACAUCAAAUCGUACCCCAAACCGACACAGGUGGUCAGGUAGAGAAUACCAAGGCGCUUGAGAGAACUCGGGUGAAGGAACUAGGCAAAAUGGUGCCGUAACUUCGGGAGAAGGCACGCUGAUAUGUAGGUGAAGCGACUUGCUCGUGGAGCUGAAAUCAGUCGAAGAUACCAGCUGGCUGCAACUGUUUAUUAAAAACACAGCACUGUGCAAACACGAAAGUGGACGUAUACGGUGUGACGCCUGCCCGGUGCCGGAAGGUUAAUUGAUGGGGUCAGCGCAAGCGAAGCUCUUGAUCGAAGCCCCGGUAAACGGCGGCCGUAACUAUAACGGUCCUAAGGUAGCGAAAUUCCUUGUCGGGUAAGUUCCGACCUGCACGAAUGGCGUAAUGAUGGCCAGGCUGUCUCCACCCGAGACUCAGUGAAAUUGAACUCGCUGUGAAGAUGCAGUGUACCCGCGGCAAGACGGAAAGACCCCGUGAACCUUUACUAUAGCUUGACACUGAACAUUGAGCCUUGAUGUGUAGGAUAGGUGGGAGGCUUAGAAGUGUGGACGCCAGUCUGCAUGGAGCCGACCUUGAAAUACCACCCUU